UAAGAAGAUAUAGAGUCAAUGAUGACGAG
This 29-nucleotide small RNA is filed under the name Bombyx mori (domestic silkworm). Its description in RNAcentral is "piRNA piR-bmo-2075280". Lineage: Eukaryota; Metazoa; Arthropoda; Insecta; Lepidoptera; Bombycidae. The record is from RNAcentral.